Trifolium pratense (red clover) is the source of this 299-nucleotide long non-coding RNA. RefSeq lists it as uncharacterized. The transcript has 2 exons. Lineage: Eukaryota; Viridiplantae; Streptophyta; Magnoliopsida; Fabales; Fabaceae. The record is from RefSeq and is a predicted model, not a curated record.
AGGAGAGCAAGAACUUUAUACAGUAUAAAAUAUAUCAAACCACAUUUUACUUUUCACAUACAAAAGAGAAAAAAAAUAUGGUUAAAAUUCUCAAGUUUGUGUAUUAUAUAAUACUAUUUUUUUUCGUAUUUAUUGUUGCGACGGAAGGACUUAAUUCACCUAUGGUAUGUGAAACAGAUGCCGAUUGUCCAAAAUCUUCAGACUACUAUUAUGAGAUAAUGUGCAUUCUUCACAAAUGUGAAUGGGUUUCAAAACUAAACCCAUUAUGGUAAAAUAUUCCAUGAGUUGUCAUUUAGUUA